AUGGCGACGGACGCCACCGCAGCCGCGGCAGCAGCAGCGGCGGCCGCAGCCCAGGACGCCGACGCGGUGGAGACGGGCAACCUCCUCCGGCGCCGCAACGUCAGGAGCAAUGACGACGGGGAGGCGGAGGAGGAGGCAUCCGUGGAGCGGGCGUUCUUGGAGAAGCCGGUGCCGACGUGGCGGGAGCAGCUGACGGUGCGCGCCUUCGUGGUGGGGUUCCUCGUCGCCGUCAUGUUCAGCAUCAUCGUGAUGAAGCUCGGCCUCACCACCGGCAUCAUCCCGUCGCUCAACGUCUCGGCCAGCCUCCUCGGCUUCUUCCUCGUCCGCCUCUGGACGUCGGCCAUCGAGAGGAUGGGGUUCCUCAAGCAGCCCUUCACGCGCCAGGAGAACACCGUCAUCCAGACCUGCGUCGUCUCCGCCUACGGCAUCGCCUUCAGCGGUGGGUUUGGCAGUUACCUGUUUGCUCUGAGCGAGACCAUAGCUAAGCAAGCAACAGAGGCUAACGAUGCUCUGAACAUCAAGAAUCCCCAUCUCGGAUGGAUAAUAGGAUUCCUGUUCCUCGUCAGCUUUGUCGGGCUUUUUGCGCUAGUGCCCAUGAGAAAGACUAUGAUUGUGGACUACAAGCUGACAUAUCCGAGUGGCACCGCAACUGCUUACCUUAUCAAUGGAUUCCACACACCCCAGGGCGCCGAGCUUGCAAAGAAGCAAGUUCGUACAUUGGGUAAGUACUUCUCGAUGAGCUUCGUUUGGGCCUUCUUCCAAUGGUUCUACACUGCUGGGAAUGACUGUGGAUUCAGUUCCUUCCCAUCACUUGGCCUUGAAGCUUACAAGAACAGGUUCUAUUUUGAUUUCUCGGCUACUUACGUUGGUGUGGGAAUGAUCUGCCCCUACAUUGUCAAUGUAUCUCUUCUGAUUGGAGGCGUCUUGUCGUGGGGCAUAAUGUGGCCACUCAUAAGCAGCAAGAAAGGAAGUUGGUAUCCUGACUCUCUUCCAGAGAGCAGUCUACAUGGACUGCAGGCUUACAGGGUGUUCAUAACCAUAGCAGUAAUCCUUGGGGACGGCCUGUAUAACUUCCUGAAGGUAUUUGGCAAAACAGUGAAGGCUUUCUACGAGAUGUAUAAGGAGAAGAAAUCGAAAUCACUUCCUGUCUCUAACAUCGGAAUUCCUGUCGCUGCCGUGGAAGCUGAGUCUUUUGAUGACAAACGCCGCAAUGAACUAUUCCUGAAGGAUCAAAUUCCCAAGAGAGUUGCAAUUGGGGGUUAUGUCAUUAUUGCAGCAAUAACGACUGGUUGCCUUCCGCUCAUCAUCCCACAGCUCAAGUGGUACCACAUUUUGGUUGCAUAUGUCUUUGCGCCUAUCCUGGCCUUCUGCAAUGCCUAUGGAUGUGGCCUGACCGACUGGUCCCUGGCCAGCACCUAUGGUAAGCUUGGGAUCUUUGUGUUCGGUGCUUGGGCAGGCGCUUCGCACGGUGGCGUGCUCGUCGGGCUGGCCGCUUGCGGUGUGAUGAUGAACAUUGUGGGAACAGCUGCUGACCUGAUGCAAGACUUCAAAACCGGGUACUUGACUUUAGCCUCACCAAGGUCCAUGUUCAUCAGCCAGGUGGCAGGCACUGCCAUGGGCUGUGUUAUCGCCCCCUGCGUCUUCUGGCUCUUCUACAAGUCCUUCGACAUUGGCGUCAGCGAUAGCGCUUACCCAGCACCUUAUGCCAUCAUGUACCGCAACAUGGCGAUCCUGGGUGUCGAUGGCCUGUCCGUUCUCCCGAAGAACUGCCUCAUGCUAUGCUACAUUUUCUUUGCUGCUGCAUUCGCCGUCAAUCUCCUGAAAGACUGUGUGCCCGCGAAGGUGGCGAAGUUCGUCCCGAUCCCCAUGGCGGUCGCGAUCCCGUUCUACCUUGGACCAUACUUCGCCAUGGACAUGUGCAUCGGCAGUGUGAUACUCUUUUGCUGGGAAUGGAUGAACAAGGCUGAGGCGCAGGCGUUCGCACCGGCAGUUGCAUCUGGCUUGAUGUGCGGCGACGGGAUCUGGGCCCUGCCGCAGGCCUUUCUUUCUCUUGCCAACGUGAACCCUCCAAUCUGCAUGAAGUUCUUGUCAAGGGCCACCAAUGCCAAAGUGGAUGCAUUCCUCGGGAACUAG
This 2133-nucleotide ribosomal RNA is filed under the name Triticum aestivum (bread wheat). RNAcentral describes it as "partial small subunit ribosomal RNA". The record is from RNAcentral. Lineage: Eukaryota; Viridiplantae; Streptophyta; Magnoliopsida; Poales; Poaceae.